RNAcentral lists this transfer RNA (75 nucleotides) under Cohaesibacter intestini. It matches the Rfam family "tRNA". From Rfam's summary of the family: Transfer RNA (tRNA) molecules are approximately 80 nucleotides in length. Their secondary structure includes four short double-helical elements and three loops (D, anti-codon, and T loops). The record is from RNAcentral. Lineage: Bacteria; Pseudomonadati; Pseudomonadota; Alphaproteobacteria; Hyphomicrobiales; Cohaesibacteraceae. RNAcentral also lists the same sequence under 1 other name.
GCGCCCUUCGUCUAGCGGUUAGGACGCCGCCCUUUCACGGCGGUAACACGGGUUCGAGUCCCGUAGGGCGUGCCA